GGCGGUCUGCCGGGCGGGGACCCUUCUCACUGUGCAGGGCCGCUGGGGGCCGCCUGCAGAGCCUGGGGCGCUGGCCGCAGGCCUGUUUGCCAGGGAGCUUCCUGGUCAGUGCACUGUGCACAGAUGCGGCAAGAAGACACCACCACUGAGCCAGAAAACUAACCCUCACCAGACACUGAACCUACCGGAAGCACCUUGAUCUCAGAAUUCCUGACCUUAGUAGCCUUGAGAAGUCUUAUGCUUGGUGGAGACUCAGGGUCCCUGAGAACCGACAUGGAAAGAACAGAGAUUCAAAACUUACUCUCUUCACCUGAAUUGAUCAACAACAGCAACAACAUCAACCACCAUAUUAGAUAGCAUUUAUUGUGACCUCAGGAUGGGUCACACACUGUGCUCAGCAUUUUGCUACAUUGGCUUCUUAAGAAUAGGGACAAAAUUUAUACCACUUAUAAUUUGUAGCACUUUACUCUGAAAAUAGUGAGCUUAUGUAGCCAAAGCAGAGAUUAAACAAAGCCCAUUCUUCCUCAGUGGCUAAACUCAACCGCUACAUAAUUUGGGAGAAAUUAUAAGCAGCAUAUCAAAUAUUAUUUAGAUUUGGAUCUUGCUAAGAUUUAUCUUUCCUAUUGUGAUCUUAUCCUAUUUGGUGCUCACAAAUACCCUGUCAAGUAGGGAUGACUAUCCACAUCUGGCAGAUGAGGAGUCUGAGAUUCCCAGAUCUAAACGUCAUUCACAUAAUAUAUCUGUCACCUACCUGGCAAUGGAAAGAUACUCAGAAGUGAAAAUUCUCCCUUACAAACAAAUCUAUUUCUUCCUUCCACCUCCCUCCUGAAAAAGAAAAUGCACACACUCUACAAGAAACAUUGUUUGGUACACACUUUUAUAAAGCUAUACAUUGUAAUUAUGAAAGGGAGAUUGUCAUCAACUUGAAUCAUACUAAAAAUGCUCAUCUUUUUUUAAACGGAAAAAGAGGAAUAAAUACUCAUUAACACUGAAGGCCUUAGAACUUAAAUUCUACUUUGAGAUAGAAAAUUGGUAUGAAAAAAAGUCUGCAUUAGUUGUCCCCAUGUACUCUUCCCGCCCUGCUUCAUUAAAAAUAAUUUAUACAAGUAAUCAUCUUCAAAGCCAAAAGUGAUUUUAGAGGAAACUUCAAUCACUUACCCUUUAGAUUUUAAAAAGCAUCAAGCCUUACCAAACAUGUAGCUAAGUGUUAACUCUCCUCUUUGACGGUACAUACACUGCUUUUUGACCUCCUGGAAGGUCUGCAGAGGACUGAGGGGCCAGGAUGGAGGCAUGAAAAGUGAUUUUGCUUUUCAUAUUGACCUGAAGGCAUUUUGUGUGUGUAUACAGAUGUUUGCACACAUGUAUGUGUAUGCAUGUAUACACAUGUAGAGAGGUGUAUAAAUAGAAAGAUGUUGGAUCACAGCAAAACACUGAAAAACUAGCUCCUUUCAUGCAAUCCUUCCUUCUGGGCUGAUAUAACUUCUUUCAAGAUGUUACUAUACUUGUUCAGUUUAAAACAACUGAAUAUUUCUUUAGAACUUCACAAAUGUACUGACCAUUCCUCGGUUAACAUCAACAUUAGUGUUUUUUACCCAAUUAAGUCCAAUGUGCCAGUAUUUUCUCCAGGAAAACUUGAGGACAAUUAUGACCAUUGCUAACCACAAGAGAAAAAGCUGUAUCAACUAGAAUAACCUAAUCUUCAUAAUAUUUAGCACAUACCUUUUUGCAUGGGCCAGAAACCACCCUGAAGGCCUUAUAUCCACCCAUUAUAAGAUUGAGAGGUCAGUAAUAUUAUUAUUAAUAACUUUGUUAUGAUGAUAUUUAUACAUGAAAUCUAAAAAGUCAAUUUGGUGGUAACAACCAUUCUACUCUCUGCUUCCCAACUGGAGGGCAUGUCUAGUGGUUGAGAGAUGCCAACAGACGGGGGUGCACAUAAGCACGGGACAUGAGGAACAGCCUGAGCAUGGGUGGACAAUGUGUCUCCACUAAAGGAAAGAAUAAUCUCUUUAAUAUGAAAGGAAGACCAAUGGUUUAUUGAUUUAUUUACUGCCUCCUCCUUUUUUCUCUCUUUGUACAUAGUGAAGUUGUUUUGGUAGAAGUUGCUUAGUAGAAUUUUUUUUGGGGGGGGGGCAGGGGUUCUGGUGACUAAACUCAGAAGCAUGCUAUCAGUGAGAAGCAUCCUCAGCCCUUUUUAUUUUUAUUUAGUUUAUUCGUUUAUUUUUUGAGACAGGGUCUAAGUUGCAGACCUCACUAAGUUCCUGAGGCUGACCUUGAACUUGUCAUGCUUCUGCUUCCCAAGUUGCUGGGAUAAGAGCCAUGUGCCACAAUGCCAGGCUGAAACUUGUAGAACGUAAGACUUAGGUGGAACUUGAGAACCUUAAUCCUGCCUUAUGCCUCUCACAAAUAUCAGUAAGUCAAUAAAUAAUUAUGUACUUCUGGUCAAUGAGUGUAUGAAAUGGAGGUGGUCAGCCAUGGCCUUAGGAUCAAACAGAUCCAGACCAAAUUCUAAUGCUGCCACAUUUUGCCUGUGAACUUAGGUAAAUGCCAUACUAAGUAUCUUUUUCACCAUAGUUCUCUUACCUGUGAAAUUGAGGUAAUAGUAUGGCACACCUCAGGAGGAGGAUAGAAUUAAAUGCAACAAUGUAUGUGGAGUGCUUAGCAUUUUACAAUAAAUAUUAGUUGUCUAUUUUAGUAAUUAAGUUGUUUAAAAUAGAUUGCUCCUAGUAAGUUACUGUUCAGAAAAAAAUAUUUCUUCACCUAAUAUGACCUUGAAUGCCCCUGGAUGAAAAUAUUUAGAAAACUCAAUGAAGGACAGUCACACUUACAGUGGAUCAUGGAACUUAAGUAGCCAGAGUGAGUUUAAGCAUGAUGUGGUCACAGCUGUGCUUUAUUUACCUUAUUUACUUAGGGAAUUCUCUGGGAUGCACUCCUGUUUUGUCAGCUGAGUGUUCAUAGAGGCUGCCCUCAUGACCAAGUGGCUGUUAGUCCUCAGCCGACCCUCUUUGCAUGUGCCCAUCCCAUGUAGAAAAAGGCUACAGAAACCCUAAAUUUCAUGUUUGUGUCCCACAGUGUCCAAAACGAGAUCACCAUCUAAGAUUCGAAGAUUGACUUUCCUUGUGAUUAAACCACAACCCAACUAAAACCAACCAAUAUGCCCAGGGUAAACCAUGGAAGUAGCAGUUGGCUUAGGCCAAGAUUAACUGAAUAAAAAUAGUUGAACAGGUGGAGUAUGAUUGACCCACUUGCUCCUAUGAGGGGCCUUGCCUUAGAAAUGGAGGUAAGUUUUUAAGAACUUUGAAUUCUCUGUUUAGAGACAAGAUAGAGAGGGAGAGACACAAACAGAGGACUUUGUGAAUUCAGGUAUAUGAAUGAAGCAUUGGGAGGAAAAUAUUCCUCAAGUAGAUUUUCAUAUUUCUAUGUUAAUUUAACAUUUUCCAGACAUACACAUUGAGUUCUCACCUUUAUAGACACAGUAUGCACUUUCAGCUUGAUAUCAAGCAUUCCAGCCAAACUAAUCCCUGUACUCAAGCACAACCAUUAAUGAGCUGCAAGAUUUUCAAUAAGUCACAUCUGUUCCCUGGGCAUCAAAGUUGUCCAGUUAAAAAAAAAAAAAAAGAAAAGAAAAGGCUUGGGGCUGGGGCUAGGACUCAGGGGUAGCACACCUGCCUAGCUUGUAUGAGGCACUGAGUUUGUUUCUCAGCACCACAUAUAAAUAAAUAAAUAAGUAAAAAGGUCUAUCAACAACUAAAAAAAUAAAAAUUGAAGUUAAAAAAAAAAAAAAGGAGUCUGAGGGAGAUGAACUCAAAAUUCCCAUUAGUUCCAUGGGUCUCCAAGAACACAAUGCAUUUCCUUUAUAAAUGGGGAAGAUAUCUGUUAAGCAAUCUCCCAACUUCUGUUCUGAAAAUUACACAAAAUAACCCAAGCUCCUUUUAUCUUUCAUCACUAGGACUAUUUUCUAUCCCUUUAAUCUUUUUGUUGAUAUUCUAUGGACCUUCUUCAGUUUCUCCACAUUCCAUUCUUUAUAUGAAAUUUCUAUCAAAAAAAGUCAGAGAUAUCAAUAAUGUUUCCUAAGUAAGAAGUGAUCCAUUUCUCCAUUCAAAAAAGGUCAUUGUGAAUUUUGCCUUUGUGUUUAGGAAUAUUAUUUUUAUUUAAAAUUCCCAUCUUAGAUGAUUUUGCACGGAGUUUAAAAUACACUGUUUUGUUUUCAAUUUAAGGUCAUUUUUAUUUGUUGUAAACUUUAAAUUCAAUAAAAUAUACAAUGCUCAUUAUCCACUCACUAAAUUAACCUGUGUAACUCAAAUUGUUAACAAAAACCCAGAAACUUCACAUCAUUCCAGAAUGUCCUCAUGUUCCUUCCAAGUCAAUCAUUACUCCUGUGAUCCAAAAGAACAAUUAUUCUAAUUUUUCCCAACAUAGAUUAAAUUUGCCAGUUGUAGAAUUUCAUCUAAAUAAAAUUAAGCAAUAUGUGCUUGUUUAUAUGGAAAGGCUACCUUUGUCCGAAUUCAAUUGAAUGUUUGUGUCCUGAAACUUAUGCAUU
Long non-coding RNA from Marmota monax (woodchuck), 4537 nucleotides. RefSeq lists it as uncharacterized. The record is from RefSeq and is a predicted model, not a curated record. Lineage: Eukaryota; Metazoa; Chordata; Mammalia; Rodentia; Sciuridae. The transcript is spliced from 3 exons.